This 512-nucleotide ribosomal RNA is filed under the name Salmonella enterica. RNAcentral's name for it is "bacterial SSU rRNA". It matches the Rfam family "Bacterial small subunit ribosomal RNA", at positions 108 to 616 of the family's 1533-position model. The record is from RNAcentral. RNAcentral also lists the same sequence under 1 other name. Lineage: Bacteria; Pseudomonadati; Pseudomonadota; Gammaproteobacteria; Enterobacterales; Enterobacteriaceae.
GAGUAAUGUCUGGGAAACUGCCUGAUGGAGGGGGAUAACUACUGGAAACGGUGGCUAAUACCGCAUAACGUCGCAAGACCAAAGAGGGGGACCUUCGGGCCUCUUGCCAUCAGAUGUGCCCAGAUGGGAUUAGCUUGUUGGUGAGGUAACGGCUCACCAAGGCGACGAUCCCUAGCUGGUCUGAGAGGAUGACCAGCCACACUGGAACUGAGACACGGUCCAGACUCCUACGGGAGGCAGCAGUGGGGAAUAUUGCACAAUGGGCGCAAGCCUGAUGCAGCCAUGCCGCGUGUAUGAAGAAGGCCUUCGGGUUGUAAAGUACUUUCAGCGGGGAGGAAGGUGUUGUGGUUAAUAACCGCAGCAAUUGACGUUACCCGCAGAAGAAGCACCGGCUAACUCCGUGCCAGCAGCCGCGGUAAUACGGAGGGUGCAAGCGUUAAUCGGAAUUACUGGGCGUAAAGCGCACGCAGGCGGUCUGUCAAGUCGGAUGUGAAAUCCCCGGGCUCAACCUG